Molecule: ribosomal RNA, 498 nt
Filed under: uncultured bacterium
Lineage: Bacteria
Description: partial 16S ribosomal RNA
Rfam family: Bacterial small subunit ribosomal RNA
Source: RNAcentral
GACGAACGCUGGCGGCGCGCCUAACACAUGCAAGUCGAGCGGAGUCAGUAAGAGGAAGUUUUCGGAUGGAAUCUUAUUGAUUUAGCGGCGGACGGGUGAGUAACGCGUGAGCGACCAACCUUGCACAGGGGGAUAACGGACCGAAAGGUUCACUAAUACCGCAUGAGACCACGGUGUUGCAUGACACAGUGGACAAAGGAGCAAUCCGGUGCAAGACGGGCUCGCGUCCGAUUAGGUAGUUGGAGGGGUAACGGCCCACCAAGCCUAUGAUCGGUAGCCGACCUGAGAGGGUGAUCGGCCACAUUGGAACUGAGAUACGGUCCAAACUCCUACGGGAGGCAGCAGUGGGGAAUAUUGGGCAAUGGGGGAAACCCUGACCCAGCAACGCCGCGUGAAGGUAGAAGGUUUUCGGAUUGUAAACUUCUGUCCUUGGUGAAGAGAAGAAGACGGUAGCCAAGGAGGAAGCCCCGGCUAACUACGUGCCAGCAGCCGCCGUAA